Long non-coding RNA from Fundulus heteroclitus (mummichog), 1162 nucleotides. RefSeq lists it as uncharacterized. The transcript has 2 exons. The record is from RefSeq and is a predicted model, not a curated record. Lineage: Eukaryota; Metazoa; Chordata; Actinopteri; Cyprinodontiformes; Fundulidae.
UGAAAAUGUCUUCAUUUUGUUUUUCUUCAGCCAUUCAGAGGUGAACCUGCUGGUGUGUUUUGGAUCAUUGUCCUGAUGCAUAACCCAAGUUGGUUGCAGCUUGAGGUCUCAAACAGAUGACAGGACCUUCUCCUUCGGAUUUUCAGUCGACAGCAGAAUUCAUGGCUCCAUUUAUCACAGCAAAUCUUCCAAGUCCAGGUGCAGCAAAAUGGCCCCGGACCAUCACACCACCACCCAGGGCCGGCGAUUGCUAUAGGCGAGCUAGGCAAUUGCCUAGGGCGACAAAUGUGUUGGGGGGCACCCUCUAGCGUCGCCCUUAGGCUUACUUCCCAUUAAUCAUAGAAUUAGAAAAAAAAAGCGAAUUAAACCAGUUAUGAAGCGUACAUCAUAUAUAUGUAUAUAUAUAUAGCAAAAUAUGAACAAAUAAAUAUACCACCGAAUUUUUUUAUUUUCUUUUUCACAUUUAAGUGAAGAUUAAGAGAAGAUUCUGAUCACUUUUCAAGCGCCCUCCAACCCGGAAGUCGUGACAUCAGAACGUGAGUGUUCAUCUCAACAUGACGGAUUACAGCACUACAUGCGAUAGCCAAAACGAGAAAUCUGAAAGCAAAAUUUUGACUUCAUCCGAGCGAUUCCUACCAGGAGACCAUUUUGAUGUAUCGGAGGAAGAAUAUUUGUGGAGCCACACAUGUUCGACCCAGACGUUUCAGAUGAGGAGAAGGCAGCGGACGAACAACAGCGAGUCGGACAAGAAGUAGAGAUUGCACGUCGGGAGAUUAGAUUAAUGGUGUUCCUGUUCUCACUGCCAAUAAUGGAUUCUGAGAGAGUGCAUCUGUUGCCAGGAAAUCGGCUUGGUUGUUGCUAAGAUGGAAGAAGCCAGAGAGGAUAUGGAUGGAGAAAUCCCUGGCUGUAUCACAGACCAUCCUGGCAUGGAAGCGGUGUGUUUAAAUGUUUGGACAUUGCAGGUUGCUUGGUCCCAAUACAAGCAACAGCAUAGGCAUAUAGCCUAUAGACAAUUUGUGAGAUGGUGUUGGGACUAUUUAGGCAAAGAUACCAGGGUUGUGAUCCCCUCGUGUGCAGUCAGCUGUAUAAGGGCCCACUUCCCACCCCCAGGACAUGAAGAUGACUUUACCUUUAGAGGUCACCUGUUGGCAGUUAAAAAAAA